CUUGCUCCACCGGAAAAAGAAGAGUGGCGAACGGGUGAGUAACACGUGGGUAACCUGCCCAUCAGAAGGGGAUAACACUUGGAAACAGGUGCUAAUACCGUAUAACAAUCGAAACCGCAUGGUUUUGAUUUGAAAGGCGCUUUCGGGUGUCGCUGAUGGAUGGACCCGCGGUGCAUUAGCUAGUUGGUGAGGUAACGGCUCACCAAGGCCACGAUGCAUAGCCGACCUGAGAGGGUGAUCGGCCACAUUGGGACUGAGACACGGCCCAAACUCAUACGGGAGGCAGCAGUAGGGAAUCUUCGGCAAUGGACGAAAGUCUGACCGAGCAACGCCGCGUGAGUGAAGAAGGUUUUCGGAUCGUAAAACUCUGUUGUUAGAGAAGAACAAGGAUGAGAGUAACUGUUCAUCCCUUGACGGUAUCUAACCAGAAAGCCACGGCUAACUACGUGCCAGCAGCCGCGGUAAUACGUAGGUGGCAAGCGUUGUCCGGAUUUAUUGGGCGUAAAGCGAGCGCAGGCGGUUUCUUAAGUCUGAUGUGAAAGCCCCCGGCUCAACCGGGGAGGGUCAUUGGAAACUGGGAGACUUGAGUGCAGAAGAGGAGAGUGGAAUUCCAUGUGUAGCGGUGAAAUGCGUAGAUAUAUGGAGGAACACCAGUGGCGAAGGCGGCUCUCUGGUCUGUAACUGACGCUGAGGCUCGAAAGCGUGGGGAGCAAACAGGAUUAGAUACCCUGGUAGUCCACGCCGUAAACGAUGAGUGCUAAGUGUUGGAGGGUUUCCGCCCUUCAGUGCUGCAGCUAACGCAUUAAGCACUCCGCCUGGGGAGUACGACCGCAAGGUUGAAACUCAAAGGAAUUGACGGGGGCCCGCACAAGCGGUGGAGCAUGUGGUUUAAUUCGAAGCAACGCGAAGAACCUUACCAGGUCUUGACAUCCUUUGACCACUCUAAAAGAUAGAGCUUCCCCUUCGGGGGCAAAGUGACAGGUGGGUGCAUGGGUUGUCGUCAGCUCGUGUCGUGAAAAUGUUGGGGUUAAGUCCCCGCAACGAAGCGC
Molecule: ribosomal RNA, 1049 nt
Filed under: Enterococcus faecium
Lineage: Bacteria; Bacillati; Bacillota; Bacilli; Lactobacillales; Enterococcaceae
Description: bacterial SSU rRNA
Rfam family: Bacterial small subunit ribosomal RNA
Source: RNAcentral